CGGUUGCCUUUUUAGAAUAAGCCAUCAGUCGCACCGGGAACAUCAGUCCACAUAUUUUACAUUUUCAAGUCCCAGCAAUUUUACUAUGAAAUACUUUGCGAUCUUUAUCGUCGUCGCCCUCAUUUUGGCCAUCUUGGGACAGUCGGAGGCUAUUUUUAUCGGACCUUUUCAACAACUGGAGGAAAUAUUCCACAAGCUAGCAAAAAUUGGAUUGCGUAUAGCUGAGCCCAUUGAGAAAUCCCUUACCAAGGCCGUAUGAAGCAUGGACUCUGGCGUAAUAACUUAAUAUUUUUCAAUAAAUGUAUUGUUCGAGUUAACCUUUGACAAGGCGAACAUUCUAAAUCUCCAA
This is a long non-coding RNA of Drosophila biarmipes, 349 nucleotides long. RefSeq lists it as uncharacterized. Lineage: Eukaryota; Metazoa; Arthropoda; Insecta; Diptera; Drosophilidae. The record is from RefSeq and is a predicted model, not a curated record. The transcript is spliced from 2 exons.